GCAGUAGCCGCGGGAAUACGUAGGGUGCAAGCGUUAAUCGGAAUUACUGGGCGUAAAGCGUGCGCAGGCGGUUAUAUAAGACAGAUGUGAAAUCCCCGGGCUCAACCUGGGAACUGCAUUUGUGACUGUAUAGCUAGAGUACGGCAGAGGGGGAUGGAAUUCCGCGUGUAGCAGUGAAAUGCGUAGAUAUGCGGAGGAACACCGAUGGCGAAGGCAAUCCCCUGGGCCUGUACUGACGCUCAUGCACGAAAGCGUGGGGAGCAAACAGGAUUAGAGACCCCUGUAGUCCCUGUCUCUUAUAC
RNAcentral lists this ribosomal RNA (302 nucleotides) under uncultured bacterium. RNAcentral's name for it is "partial 16S ribosomal RNA". It matches the Rfam family "Bacterial small subunit ribosomal RNA", at positions 508 to 807 of the family's 1533-position model. The record is from RNAcentral.